GGGGAAUUCUCCCACUCAAGAGAAUAAAACCAUAGAUACCAUCAAGCUUGGGAUUAUUUUCCAUUAUAGUUCAUUACAAGAUAUUGAAUACAGUUGCCUAUGCUAUACAGUAGGACCUCGUUUAUUUUAUAUAUACUAGUGUGUAUCUGCUGAUCCCAAAGGGACUGUUUCUUAAAAGACACUUGGAAUUCCCUGGAUUUACUGGUGAUGAGCAGUGAAUAGAACGGCGGAGUGCAUCAAAACUUGGACCUCCUUUGGGCUUCCCUGGUGGCGCAGUGGUUGAGAGUCCGCCUGCCGA
Molecule: long non-coding RNA, 298 nt
Organism: Physeter macrocephalus (sperm whale)
Lineage: Eukaryota; Metazoa; Chordata; Mammalia; Artiodactyla; Physeteridae
Exons: 3
Source: RefSeq, a predicted model, not a curated record